Molecule: ribosomal RNA, 465 nt
Filed under: Acinetobacter sp. oral taxon C51
Lineage: Bacteria; Pseudomonadati; Pseudomonadota; Gammaproteobacteria; Moraxellales; Moraxellaceae
Description: bacterial SSU rRNA
Rfam family: Bacterial small subunit ribosomal RNA
Source: RNAcentral
AUUGAACGCUGGCGGCAGGCUUAACACAUGCAAGUCGAGCGGAGCGAGGGUGCUUGCACCUUAGCUUAGCGGCGGACGGGUGAGUAAUGCUUAGGAAUCUGCCUAUUAGUGGGGGACAACAUUCCGAAAGGGAUGCUAAUACCGCAUACGCCCUACGGGGGAAAGCAGGGGAUCUUCGGACCUUGCGCUAAUAGAUGAGCCUAAGUCGGAUUAGCUAGUUGGUGGGGUAAAGGCCUACCAAGGCGACGAUCUGUAGCGGGUCUGAGAGGAUGAUCCGCCACACUGGGACUGAGACACGGCCCAGACUCCUACGGGAGGCAGCAGUGGGGAAUAUUGGACAAUGGGGGGAACCCUGAUCCAGCCAUGCCGCGUGUGUGAAGAAGGCCUUUUGGUUGUAAAGCACUUUAAGCGAGGAGGAGGCGCUCUAGGAUAAUACCCUAGAUGCGUGGACGUAAUUCGCAGAAA